GUUGUGCACUUUGGUUGACAUCCUUUCUUUGUUCUUCAUGCAUUGAAUGUGUUCUUGAUUAGCUAGCUUUCUAGACUAUGAUUGCAUGUUCAAUAGGAUUGAUUUAGGUGCUUUCACUUAGAUCAAUUAUUCAAGGAAAGUAAAAUAUGGGAAAUCGUUUACUUAUUAACGUUUCACAUGGUCAACUUAUUUCUCAUGACAUUAGAUAAUCAACUAUAGGAAUUGUAAUUGGAUUUCAUUCAUAUGGAAUUGGUUUUGAUCUUUGUUUCUUAUGUGUACCCUCAAUCCCCGGAAUAG
RNAcentral lists this long non-coding RNA (297 nucleotides) under Rosa chinensis. Its description in RNAcentral is "sRNA RchiOBHm_Chr3g0458281". Lineage: Eukaryota; Viridiplantae; Streptophyta; Magnoliopsida; Rosales; Rosaceae. The record is from RNAcentral.